UUUCCACAGUGACUGCUUGCCAUAGUUUGGAUUCCCCAGAAGCAAAUCCUUAGAAAAGGAUUCAAGUGCAAGUGGUUUAUUCAGGAGGUCAUCCCAGUAAAUACCAGUAGGGGAGUACAUAAAUGAGACAGAGGAAAAAAGGAAGCCAUAAAGGGGUGCCAACAAGCAAGUGGACAACUGCAGCUCAAUUCCUCCAGGGAACUCUGGGAAAUAGUACAGAACACCUCAGAGUUACCCUACCUGAGGGUGGGGGAGCUGGGGUAUUUAUCCACUGCCUCCCACCAGUCCUUGUCUAAGGGCUGCUGGGGGUGGGUGGUUAAUUCCCCAUGGGCAGGAAGGAGGAAUGUGAUCCUGGCCUGGCCAGAAUACAUCCAGCCAGCUAGCUUCAGCGAUUGAUUCAAAGGGAAAAAAGAAGAACUAGACAAGGAUCCACUCAGAUUUGCACAGGCUGAUUCUCUCAUGUGAUUUUGAUUAAAGGACAAAAUUGGUUUGUUGGGGAGGUUCAAUUCAUUUAGAGUAAAAACAGGGAACAUUUUCAUUAUUCCCAGUCACUGUUUUCAACUGCGGUCUAAUAAAGUCCCCUCCUCACUGGGUGGCCAUGUAUCUUAAGGAUACUUCAGCCUGAUUCUUUAGCUUUUUGUCAUUUUCAGUAAUUAAAAGUCAAUUUCAGUUUUUAAGACUCAGCCUUAAAAAAUUUUAACCUUUUGUUGGAUUUAAAGCUCUUCUCUUCCC
RNAcentral lists this long non-coding RNA (732 nucleotides) under Equus caballus (horse). Its description in RNAcentral is "lncRNA (ENSECAG00000052016.1)". Lineage: Eukaryota; Metazoa; Chordata; Mammalia; Perissodactyla; Equidae. The record is from RNAcentral.